AUCCAGGAGAAGUCUGACGGAGCACGCCGCGUGAGUGAUGAAGGUUUUCGGAUCGUAAAGCUCUGUUGUUAGGGAAGAACAAGUACCGUUCGAAUAGGGCGGUACCUUGACGGUACCUAACCAGAAAGCCACGGCUAACUACGUGCCAGCAGCCGCGGUAAUACGUAGGUGGCAAGCGUUGUCCGGAAUUAUUGGGCGUAAAGGGCUCGCAGGCGGUUUCUUAAGUCUGAUGUGAAAGCCCCCGGCUCAACCGGGGAGGGUCAUUGGAAACUGGGGAACUUGAGUGCAGAAGAGGAGAGUGGAAUUCCACGUGUAGCGGUGAAAUGCGUAGAGAUGUGGAGGAACACCAGUGGCGAAGGCGACUCUCUGGUCUGUAACUGACGCUGAGGAGCGAAAGCGUGGGGAGCGAACAGGAUUAGAUACCCUGGUAGUCCACGCCGUAAACGAUGAGUGCUAAGUGUUAGGGGGUUUCCGCCCCUUAGUGCUGCAGCUAACGCAUUAAGCACUCCGCCUGGGGAGUACGGUCGCAAGACUGAAACUCAAAGAAAUUGGGACGGGA
This 559-nucleotide ribosomal RNA is filed under the name uncultured Bacillus sp. Its description in RNAcentral is "bacterial SSU rRNA". It matches the Rfam family "Bacterial small subunit ribosomal RNA", at positions 369 to 920 of the family's 1533-position model. The record is from RNAcentral. Lineage: Bacteria; Bacillati; Bacillota; Bacilli; Caryophanales; Bacillaceae.